This 443-nucleotide ribosomal RNA is filed under the name uncultured bacterium. RNAcentral describes it as "bacterial SSU rRNA". It matches the Rfam family "Bacterial small subunit ribosomal RNA", at positions 958 to 1399 of the family's 1533-position model. The record is from RNAcentral.
AACGCGAAGAACCUUACCUGGGCUCGAAAUGUAGUGGAAUAGGGUGGAAACAUCCUAGUCUCGCAAGAGACUGCUAUAUAGGUGCUGCAUGGCUGUCGUCAGCUCGUGUCGUGAGAUGUUGGGUUAAGUCCCGCAACGAGCGCAACCCUUAUCCCUAGUUGCCAUCGGGUCAAGCCGGGCACUCUAGUGAAACCGCCCGGGAUAACCGGGAGGAAGGUGGGGAUGACGUCAAGUCCUCAUGGCCUUUAUGUCCAGGGCUACACACGUGCUACAAUGGUCGGUACAAACCGUCGCAAACCCGCGAGGGGGAGCUAAUCGGAAAAAGCCGGCCUCAGUUCGGAUUGGAGUCUGCAACCCGACUCCAUGAAGCUGGAAUCGCUAGUAAUCGCGGAUCAGAACGCCGCGGUGAAUACGUUCCCGGGCCUUGUACACACCGCGUGUCU